CAGUCGUGUGUAUUAGCCAAUCAGUGAUGAGUACUGUAAUCUACGGAGUAGAUGGGUUGGACAAAAUCGAAACGAGAGACAAGAAAUAAUAAAUGAUGAGCGGAGCGAAGCAAAACACAAACUCGGUAAAGUAUUUUAAGCUAGCUACAGUUUGAUAAUUAGGGGAAAGGCCUGACGUGUUGCAUAUUUUUGUAACCCUGUAAAAUGGGAAGGUGAGCCUUGUUUGGAGUGGCUUUCUGUUGGUAAUUAAUGCAAGUUAACUUAACGUUAGUUGGCACAACGGCGUAACCAAGCGUGGACUGUUGCUAGCUGUUAGCUUUCACCCUCACAAGAGACCGAGUGUGUGGGGAAACACAUUUUGCAUCAACUUUCUGAUGUCCUUCUGAUGCUGCCCCACACUGCUACAGUGUCAGGACUGAAUUCCCGCUGCAUGCGAGGAGGAGCCAGCUUGCUUGCUGCACGCGGAUAAACCACACCACUGGACAGAGUGUUUGCAAGACUGUUCGCUAACAGCUUCCUGAUUUUACAAGGAACAGCCAUUCUGCUAUCCACAGCACAUUCCCCUGAAAAUACCUUUUAGGGAUCCUUUUCUCAGUGGCAAUGCCAUCACUCCAAUCAUCAGUCCCCUGAGUGCCACUGGGCUGUACCUUUUACUGGCAAGCAGGGAGACACUGGAAAUGCAUAUCAUGACUUGCUGCAAGGGAUCCCUAAUGAGAAUGUAUGAGACUGAUGUUUUCAGUUGGGAAAUAAAGACUAAAUAAACUAUAGGAAUUGUUUCAGUAUAAUAAUAGGUAAACUAGUCAGGAAACAUAAUGUUAAUGCAAAGCUUAUCACUGAAAAUAGUUUUAUCAUUUAGCAUUGCAAAGAACUUACAAAAAAGAUAUAAUGUAUCAGUGAAAUGUUAACUCGUCGACAAAAACUAGAAUCUCACAGUUGCCGUUGUCGAAAGGCUUUGUUUUGCUGCAGAUUUCUGUUAUGUUAUUUUCCACCCAUGUCUCUUUGGAUGCUGAGAAAUGACAACUCUGAUUUAUUGGCUUGCUUAUCAGGAAUUUUUUCUCAUUUUCUACAUUACAUUACAUUUGCUGAAUACUACAACUGCUCAGCAUGUAGUGUGGAAUUCUCACUGAAAGUGUAUUCUUAUCUAUGAAUGGCUUUACUUGUUAAUGAAGUCGUUGUGUAAAGACCGUGUUCUCUUAGCUUGAAUCAAACCAAAACAAUGUGCUGGGACGCAAGAGGAAUCUCUCAAUGUCACUAAUUAAUUUUCUUCUAUUCUUAAUUCCCCGAUAUCAAACAUAUCAGUAACUUUGUGCAUAUUUAUGUCACACUUUCGGUUGCAUAUUUUUUUCCUGUUAAUGUCUGAGUGAAAGAGCUUUCUUUCACAGAAUGCUUACAUCUUUAUAUAUAUGCUGUCUUAUUUCUGGUUUUAAGGAGAGGGGGGAAAUAUGUCAUAUUAUUUAAGCAGAAAAUGCCAUUACCAGACUAGUUCAAAACUAUUUCUUGUCAUUGUUUUCCUGUACACUGACAUGAGAAUUAAAUCCCGCCAUAAUCCUAAUCUAAUAACCUAACUCAAAUCCUAAUAUAUGACCAUUCAUGCAAGCAUACAUUUUCAUUUAAAAGCAUUAGUUUUGCAUGAGUUCCAUUAUUAGUAUAGCAUUGUGUGUUUUUACUUAAUCUUCUUGAAUGGAUAUUCAUUAUAUGAUAAAGGCCACCUCAGUUUGCCACAAAGUGAGGCCGUAUUCCUACAGUACCAUAAUAAUACUAUUUGUAUAAGCAAACUAUGCACACAUUUAUGAUCAGUGUAGAUGGUCCCUCUCUCUCUUUAUAUUCACUGUUGUGUUUUGAUGUAACAUCUUUAAAGAUAAUUUUAGAUGUAAACAAUUCCUCCAUUCAUAUAUACUUGGGGGAUAAUGAUGUAUUUAAUACUUGUAUUUGACAUGAUAUUGAGCGUUUUUAUUUAGUUAUUUCAUUAAAUUAUUUGUCAGUAUAAAUCUUCAUUUUUAAUACUGUAUGUUGAUGUUAAAUUUGGCACAUGGUUACUUUAUUUCAUGAUAACUUGUAGAUCUGUGAAUAUUAUUUUACAACUAAUUCUUUAAUAUAGGU
Perca fluviatilis (European perch) is the source of this 2100-nucleotide long non-coding RNA. RefSeq lists it as uncharacterized. The transcript is spliced from 3 exons. The record is from RefSeq and is a predicted model, not a curated record. NCBI's taxonomy places the organism in Eukaryota, Metazoa, Chordata, Actinopteri, Perciformes, Percidae.